GUGACCAUAUUCAGUGGGAUUUUGCUUUUUUGGCUGGAUAAUAUUCGACUAUCACAAAGCUAUAAUUUCUGGUUUAGAAAGAAGAUGGUGUUGUUUGCAGCCUCGUGUCCCAGAGAAGCCUGAUGUGACGUACUGCAGUGCACAUCCCGAAGUUUGAGUUUAUUCUAAGAGAGAUGCAAACGUAAAAGGUUUGUGUUUCCUAGUCCUGCAGGCGGGGUGAGGAUGGUCUCUGCUCACAAAGAGGUGCUGGUGACUGGAUGGAAUGAAUCACUGCAAUUCAACCCCUACCCACUGAAAUACAGCAGCACACGCUGAAGUGUAAGUACAUGAGUAAAACUGAGCACAGGGGCUUCAAGUUCUGCUGCUAAAUGGGGUAUCAUCUUACCUGGUUUUUGGGGGUGAAAAAAAAA
Molecule: long non-coding RNA, 410 nt
Filed under: Calidris pugnax (ruff)
Lineage: Eukaryota; Metazoa; Chordata; Aves; Charadriiformes; Scolopacidae
Description: lncRNA (ENSCPUG00000012384.1)
Source: RNAcentral